Molecule: ribosomal RNA, 421 nt
Filed under: uncultured bacterium
Lineage: Bacteria
Description: bacterial SSU rRNA
Rfam family: Bacterial small subunit ribosomal RNA
Source: RNAcentral
UAUUGCACAAUGGGGGAAACCCUGAUGCAGCGACGCCGCGUGAGUGAUGAAGUAUUUCGGUAUGUAAAGCUCUAUCAGCAGGGAAGAAUAGGUCAUCAGCCUUUGGCUGGUGACAUGAAUGACGGUACCUGACUAAGAAGCUCCGGCUAAAUACGUGCCAGCAGCCGCGGUAAUACGUAUGGAGCAAGCGUUAUCCGGAUUUACUGGGUGUAAAGGGAGCGCAGACGGCAGGGCAAGUCUGAUGUGAAAAUCCGGGGCCCAACCCCGGAAUUGCAUUGGAAACUGUGCUGCUGGAGUGCAGGAGAGGUAAGUGGAAUUCCUAGUGUAGCGGUGAAAUGCGUAGAUAUUAGGAGGAACACCAGUGGCGAAGGCGGCUUACUGGACUGUAACUGACGUUGAGGCUCGAAAGCGUGGGGAGCAA